AGGUCUGGCCUGCCCAGUGACAAGUUAAACGGCCGCGGUAUUUUGACCGUGCGAAGGUAGCGCAAUCACUUGUCUUUUAAAUGAAGACCCGUAUGAAUGGCGGAACGAGGGCUUAACUGUCUCCCUUCUCUAGUCAAUGAAAUUGAUCUCUCCGUGCAGAAGCGGACAUACAAAUACAAGACGAGAAGACCCUUUGGAGCUUAAGAUACAAGAUCAACUACGUCAAGAGCCCCAAAAAUAUAAGCCAAACUAAGUAACAUCUGAUCUACAUCUUCGGUUGGGGCGACCACGGGAGAAAAUAAAGCUCCCAUGCGGACUGGGGCUAUCAACCCCAAAACCUAGAAAGACAUUUCUAAGUCACAGAAUAUCUGACCACAAAGAUCCGGCCUACCAGCCGAUCAACGGACCAAGUUACCCUAGGGAUAACAGCGCAAUCCCCUUUCAGAGUCCAUAUCGACAAGGGGGUUUACGACCUCGAUGUUGGAUCAGGACAUCCUAAUGGUGCAGCCGCUAUUAAGGGUUCGUUUGUUCAACGAUUAAAGUCCUACGUGAUCU
RNAcentral lists this ribosomal RNA (555 nucleotides) under Rhynchodoras woodsi. Its description in RNAcentral is "partial 16S ribosomal RNA". It matches the Rfam family "Bacterial large subunit ribosomal RNA", at positions 1848 to 2606 of the family's 2925-position model. Lineage: Eukaryota; Metazoa; Chordata; Actinopteri; Siluriformes; Doradidae. The record is from RNAcentral.